AGAAAGUGACACUGCUGAAAGUAAAGAUCGGACGCAACGUAUACAGCUUAACCGACACGAGUAUCCUGCACAUUCCGAAGUAAGAAAGCAAUUGCACCAAAUUAAGGAGCAUUGUGGAUCCUAAAAGUGACACUGCUGAAAGUAAAGAUCGGACGCAACGUAUACAGCUUAACCGACACGAGUAUCCUGCACAUUCCGAAGUAAGAAAGCAAUUGCACCAAAUUAAGGAGCAUUGUGG
RNAcentral lists this long non-coding RNA (238 nucleotides) under Lathyrus oleraceus (garden pea). RNAcentral's name for it is "Pisum sativum (pea) long non-coding RNA (PSAT_LNC018359)". The record is from RNAcentral. Lineage: Eukaryota; Viridiplantae; Streptophyta; Magnoliopsida; Fabales; Fabaceae.